CCCUUAGAUGUUCUGGGCCGCACGCGCGCUACACCGAUGAACGCAACGAGACCACCUGUACCGAAAGGCAUGGGUAAACUUGUGAAAGUUCAUCGUGAUGGGGAUAGAUUAUUGCAAUUAUUAAUCUUCAACGAGGAAUUCCUAGUAAGCGCGAGUCAUCAGCUCGCGUUGAUUACGUCCCUGCCCUUUGUACACACCGCCCGUCGCUCCUACCGAUUGAAUGGUCCGGUGAAAUCUUCGGAUUGCUGGAUAGGACUUCAUUGACCUAUCUGCGAGAAGUUGCUUGAACCUUAUCAUUUAGAGGAAGGAGAANUCGUANCA
RNAcentral lists this ribosomal RNA (321 nucleotides) under uncultured eukaryote. Its description in RNAcentral is "partial 18S ribosomal RNA". It matches the Rfam family "Eukaryotic small subunit ribosomal RNA", at positions 1470 to 1796 of the family's 1831-position model. The record is from RNAcentral.